RNAcentral lists this ribosomal RNA (427 nucleotides) under uncultured bacterium. RNAcentral describes it as "bacterial SSU rRNA". It matches the Rfam family "Bacterial small subunit ribosomal RNA", at positions 355 to 775 of the family's 1533-position model. The record is from RNAcentral.
UCGAGAAUUUUUCACAAUGGGUGCAAGCCUGAUGGAGCGACGCCGCGUGGGGGAUGAAUGGCUUCGGCCCGUAAACCCCUGUCAUUUGCGAUCAACCGUUAUUAUUUAAAAGAUGAUAACCUGAUAGUAGCGAAAGAGGAAGGGACGGCUAACUCUGUGCCAGCAGCCGCGGUAAUACAGAGGUCCCAAGCGUUGUUCGGAUUUACUGGGCGUAAAGGGUGCGUAGGUGGCGGUGUAAGUCGGAUGUGAAAUCUCCGAGCUCAACUCGGAAACUGCAUUGGAAACUACAUUGCUCGAGGGUUGGAGGGGGGACUGGAAUACUUGGUGUAGCAGUGAAAUGCGCAGAUAUCAAGUGGAACACCAGUGGCGAAGGCGAGUCCCUGGACAACUCCUGACACUGAGGCACGAAAGCUAGGGGAGCAAACAG